RNAcentral lists this ribosomal RNA (301 nucleotides) under uncultured bacterium. RNAcentral's name for it is "partial 16S ribosomal RNA". It matches the Rfam family "Bacterial small subunit ribosomal RNA", at positions 509 to 807 of the family's 1533-position model. The record is from RNAcentral.
CAGCAGCCGCGGUAAUACGUAGGGUGCAAGCGUUAAUCGGAAUUACUGGGCGUAAAGCGUGCGCAGGCGGUUUGUUAAGACAGAUGUGAAAUCCCCGGGCUCAACCUGGGAACUGCAUUUGUGACUGGCAAGCUAGAGUGUGGCAGAGGGGGGUGGAAUUCCGCGUGUAGCAGUGAAAUGCGUAGAUAUGCGGAGGAACACCGAUGGCGAAGGCAGCCCCCUGGGCCAACACUGACGCUCAUGCACGAAAGCGUGGGGAGCAAACAGGAUUAGAUACCCGGGUAGUCCCUGUCUCUUAUAC